This 300-nucleotide small RNA is filed under the name Callithrix jacchus (white-tufted-ear marmoset). RNAcentral describes it as "Metazoan signal recognition particle RNA (ENSCJAG00000054197.2)". It matches the Rfam family "Metazoan signal recognition particle RNA". From Rfam's summary of the family: The signal recognition particle (SRP) is a universally conserved ribonucleoprotein. It is involved in the co-translational targeting of proteins to membranes. The record is from RNAcentral. Lineage: Eukaryota; Metazoa; Chordata; Mammalia; Primates; Cebidae.
GCUGGGCAUGGUGGUGCAUGCCUGUAAUCCCAGCUACUCUGGAGGCUGAGGCAGGAGAAUUGCUUGAACCCGGGAGGCGGAGGUUGCGGUGAGCCGAAGAUCGUGCCAUUGCACUCCAGCCUGGGUAACAAGAGCGAAACUCCGUCUCAAAAAAAAAAAAAAAUACAUAUAUAUUUUUAAACUGCAAGUUUUUUUGUUUGAGACAGAGUCUUGCUGUGUUGCCCAGGCUGGAGAGCAAUGGUUCAGUCUCAGCUCACUGCAACCUCCACCGCCCAGGUUCAAGCAAUUCUCCUGCCUCAG